Molecule: ribosomal RNA, 253 nt
Filed under: uncultured bacterium
Lineage: Bacteria
Description: partial 16S ribosomal RNA
Rfam family: Bacterial small subunit ribosomal RNA
Source: RNAcentral
UACGGAGGGGGUUAGCGUUGUUCGGAAUGACUGGGCGUAAAGCGCGCGUAGGCGGACCAGCAAGUCAGGGGUGAAAGCCCGGGGCUCAACCCCGGAACUGCCUUUGAUACUGUUGGUCUGGAGUUCGAGAGAGGUGGGUGGAAUUCCGAGUGUAGAGGUGAAAUUCGUAGAUAUUCGGAGGAACACCAGUGGCGAAGGCGGCCCACUGGCUCGACACUGACGCUGAGGCGCGAAAGCGCGGGGAGCAAACAGG